CCAGGGAUUCUAGGCCUGGAUCUGGUACCUACUAGUAUUUGGUUCCUGGCACGAGGUUUGUCACCUGGUAUGCGCUGAGCCGGGUGACUGUGAAGCCAGCCCCACUGUCCACCACACUCACCAGCUCCCUGCGCCCACGGCAGGAAGGCACUACGAAGCUAGAUUUCACCACUGGGCAGGAAAUCAGGGGCUCACUCUGGAGGACAUGGGGUCACCUCUAUGGGGAGGUCCACCUGUCCACGUGACAAGGGAUUGAGGCCUCCUGCCAACAUCCAGCAUGGAACUGAGGCCCCCACACAACAGCCAUGAGAAUGAGCAAGACUGGAAGCAGAUCCUCCAGCCCAAGUCAAGCCUUCAGGUUUUCAAGACUCAUGAUGAUAUGACCCCAUCUCACCUACAAAAGCAUGUGUCUUCUUACUUCUCAAUGUGACACAGAUUAGUAUCAACCAGGAGAACAUUUGUUUUAGGGUUUUGUCUUCAUUUCUGCCUGUUAAAGAUUUUUAUUAUUAUCUUAUAUGAAAAUACAGUGUCAUGUCUCACUCAUAUAAGCCUGGAGGGUUAGUAAACACUUUGAAGGACAAGAUGAGGAUUCCUAAAUCAUCUCCAUGCAUAGAAUAUCAGACCAACCUAACAAGAUGAAAUGAUCAGAGAUCCAUAUAAAACCUCAGCAAUGCAUAAUGGACCAGACAUGGCUUAGAAGCA
Long non-coding RNA from Canis lupus familiaris (dog), 702 nucleotides. RefSeq lists it as uncharacterized. The record is from RefSeq and is a predicted model, not a curated record. Lineage: Eukaryota; Metazoa; Chordata; Mammalia; Carnivora; Canidae. The transcript has 3 exons.